UGGGGAAUAUUGCACAAUGGGCGCAAGCCUGAUGCAGCCAUGCCGCGUGUGUGAAGAAGGCCUUCGGGUUGUAAAGCACUUUCAGCGGGGAGGAAGGCGUUAAGGUUAAUAACCUUGGCGAUUGACGUUACCCGCAGAAGAAGCACCGGCUAACUCCGUGCCAGCAGCCGCGGUAAUACGGAGGGUGCAAGCGUUAAUCGGAAUUACUGGGGGUAAAGCGCACGCAGGCGGUUGAUUGAGUCAGAUGUGAAAUCCCCGGGCUUAACCCGGGAAUUGCAUCUGAUACUGGUCAGCUAGAGUCUUGUAGAGGGGGGUAGAAUUCCAUGUGUAGCGGUGAAAUGCGUAGGGAUGUGGAGGAAUACCGGUGGCGAAGGCGGCCCCCUGGACAAAGACUGACGCUCAGGUGCGAAAGCGUGGGGAGCAAACAGG
RNAcentral lists this ribosomal RNA (429 nucleotides) under Chloroflexota bacterium. Its description in RNAcentral is "Chloroflexi bacterium partial 16S ribosomal RNA". It matches the Rfam family "Bacterial small subunit ribosomal RNA", at positions 355 to 776 of the family's 1533-position model. The record is from RNAcentral. Lineage: Bacteria; Bacillati; Chloroflexota.